UGCACGUCCAGCUCACCGAGGAGCUCUACCAAGCAUCCUGGCGGCCAGCGCAGGUCGACGCUGUGCCGCCCUUCCCCCAAAACGUCCCUCAAAGUCCUCCACCAGCCCAAAGUGUCCUCCAGCAUGCCACCGUCGCCAAGCCCACGCCGACGAAGCCCGCUGGCGCGUACCGGCCUCCUGGGGCGCGGGGUAUCGAGGCGUCGGCGGCGUACAAG
This 215-nucleotide unclassified non-coding RNA is filed under the name Hevea brasiliensis (rubber tree). Lineage: Eukaryota; Viridiplantae; Streptophyta; Magnoliopsida; Malpighiales; Euphorbiaceae. The record is from RNAcentral.